GAUGAAGAAGCAGCGAAAUGCGAUACUUGGUGUGAAUUGCAGAAUCCCGUGAACCAUCGAGUUUUUGAACGCAAGUUGCGCCCGAAGCCAUUAGGCCGAGGGCACGCCUGCCUGGGUGUCACACAUUGUUGCCCCAAUGCCAAUCGCCUCACUUUGCAGGUAUUUGCUCGGGGUGAAUGUUGGCCUCCCGUGAGCUCUGUCUCACGGUUGGUUGAAAAUCGAGUGCAUGGUGUCGGGUGUACCAUGAUGGAUGGUGGUUGAGUGAUGCUCGAGACCAAUCAUGGGUAACUCCACCAGAAUUGUGCUCGGUGACCCACAUGCGUCCCUUGGAUGCUCCCUAAGGAGACCUCAGGUUAGGCGGGGCUACCCGCUGAGUUUAAGCAUAUCAAUAAGCGGAGGA
Molecule: unclassified non-coding RNA, 400 nt
Filed under: soil metagenome
Description: partial contains 5.8S ribosomal RNA, internal transcribed spacer 2, and large subunit ribosomal RNA
Rfam family: 5.8S ribosomal RNA (bases 1-121)
Source: RNAcentral